RNAcentral lists this small RNA (36 nucleotides) under Bombyx mori (domestic silkworm). Its description in RNAcentral is "ovarian small RNA-15622". The record is from RNAcentral. Lineage: Eukaryota; Metazoa; Arthropoda; Insecta; Lepidoptera; Bombycidae.
GACUCCCUUAGAAGCCGAAAGUCGCCGACACGAGAU